Molecule: long non-coding RNA, 3386 nt
Filed under: Homo sapiens (human)
Lineage: Eukaryota; Metazoa; Chordata; Mammalia; Primates; Hominidae
Description: HSALNT0172249
Source: RNAcentral
UGGAGGGGAAAUGGUUCCUAUUAAAGACUGGCUUACAAAGAUGUUAAAUAAUGACUUAAGUUGCCAUUCAUUUAACACAUUUUUAUUAAGCACCUACUAUGAAAGGUUCAUGCUAGACAAUGUACGGGUUUUGCCUACAACUGAUAUGGAAGAUACAUAAAAUAACUAUCAUUCAGAUAGAAAAUAAGUACCAUGUCAGAGAUACUUAGAGUUGCAGCAAUGGAAGGUAUGACUUUCCACAGGUGGUCUCAGUUGAGGAAUGAUUUAGACUGGCACAUGCAGGGAAGGCUGGGGGUACAGUGCAGGCCAAGGCCUGGAGUGCUGCAUUCUAGCUUCUGGGCAUGGAUUAAGGACCUCAGACUGGGAGUUUGGAAAUGCAACUUGGGCACAGGUUAUGGGGGCGAAGAAGACAGUUUAGAUUGUAUUUUGUAGGAAAUGGAUACUCCCUUGAAAGCCUGCGUGCCAAGGAAGUGGUAUGAUUAGCACUGUGCUUCAGAGAGAAAUGUCUUCAGCAGGAUGCAAUGUCCACUGGGGAAACUGGCUGCUGCAGCGUUUGAUCAUUGCAGUGGUCUGAAUGUGCCCCCACCAAAUUCAUGCAUUGGAAGCUUAAACCCCAGUGCAACAGUGUUGGAGGUGAGGCCUUUUGGGAUGGGUUUAGGUGUUGAGCCUCUGCCCUUGCAUAUGGGUUAACGCUGCUAUAAGUAGGGCUUUCAGGAGUAAGCUGGCUCUCUCUGGCCCUUCAUGUGCCUUCCACCAGAUGCUACAGAUUCGAUCUUGGACAUCCCAGCCUCUAGAAAUGUGAGAAAUGAAUUUUUGUUCUUUAUAAAUUACCCAGGCUGUGGCAUUCUGUUGUAGCAGCACAAAACAGACCAAAGACAGCCACAGAGUAAUAGCUGCCUUCCCUCAAGUAUCUACCAACCCCCUGCUCCGCAUCCGGCACAAUGCUCAGAGCUGCGGAUAAAAAAAGCAAAAGCUGAGCCAGGGCCUGCUCUCGUGAGGCUUACAAUUAAGUGAGGAACAUACCACACGGAACUAAGCACCAGGGAGAGAGGUACGGGGGGACACGAGCACAAACGGUGAGGAGUGGGCCCCCAGGGUCAGGGACACUUCUAAUGAUGAUGCAACUCAGAUCCCAAGAAAGAAGACGAGGCUUAGGCAAGAGAAGCAUUCCAUAAGAGAGAAGAGGGCACAGAGCCAGAAAGAAGCGCUAAAGAGAAAGCAAGAGAGAGAGGAUGGCAGGAGAGCUGGAGAGGUGAAAUAUCCUGAGACCAAAGGACACAGUGAGCAGACAGGCCUGGAACAGUGACAGGGCACAACCAGCUCUGCCUUCCAAAAGGCACCUCUGACCAUGGCUCGGAGAAGACUCCGGAAGAGAGCAGAAAGUAUGUAUAUAUAUAUAUACUAGGAGGCCAUUAUAGCAGUCCAAGCGAGAGAUGAUAAAUGUGGACUGCCGUGGUGGUUGUUGAAGCAGAGGUACGUGGAUCUGACACUCAAAUGAGAUUUUAUAUUUUGUGCGGUUUGGCACUUUUUUUUUUUUUUUUUUUUUUUUUUGAGACAGGGUCUGGCCCUGUCGUCUAGGCUGGAAUCACUGGUGCGAGGCUCACUGCAACCUCCACCUCCCAGGUUCAGUGGAUUCUCCCGCCUCAGCCUCCUGAGUAGCUGAGAUUACAGGCAUGUGCCACCACGCCCAACUAAUUUCUGUAUUUCUAGUAGUAACAGGGUUUUGCCUUGGUGCCCAGGCUGGUCUCAAACUCCUGGCCUCAAGUUAUCUGCCCACCUCAGCCACUCUAAGUGCUGAGAUUACGGGUGUGAGGCACCGUAUUGCUCCAGAUUUGGCAGAUUCUGACUGGCUAAUUUUUAUACCUUGACAGGCACUAACCACUAAGACCUGAGUCAUCAUAUACUUUAAAAUAAGUAUCUACAUUUAAAUUUCCUUUUUGAAUUGGUUAUUAGGAAAAUGUCCAACUCCUUAGGCAAAACUUCCUACUUUCUGUCUACAAAUAAAGAGAACCGCACUUUGGGAGGCCUAAGCCACCAUGCCUGGCGCAGCCCAACAUUUUUUAAAAAAGUGAAAACAUGCAUGUGGUAAAGACGGGGGAAAAAUAAAACUGUAAAAUGGGCAUGAACCCCAAAAUUUGCCAACCUCCCUAAAGGUAACCAAUGUUAUCCAUUUCUCAAGUGUCCUUUCAGAGAUAUUCAGCACUUAGGUAUUCAAGCAUAUACAUUCCUCCUUUAUCACACAAACAGUAGCACAUUAUAUUAACUUUUCUAAAACCUUGCGUUAAACAUAUAUAUAUACCUAUGCCACUUAGAACUCAUAUAGUACUAACAUGGAAUUUCAGUACUAUAAAGUACAGCCAUUUGAAAUAAUGAACAGCCACACUUUCUAGUGGCUGCACACUAUUCUAUGGCACAGAUACACCAUAAUUUAAUACACGCUCUACUGAUGAAUAUCUAUGAUGCUUCCCAAUGAUGCUGCAAUAAGUUUGUGUUGAGCAGAAAAGGUGCAUUAGAAAUUAUUUUUCUUUCUUUCAACUUUAAAUUCCUAGCUUUGAAAAAGAGUCUCCAUGUGCUAUGAAUACACUGUAAGCUAACAUUGUACUAGUUGAUUUUGAUUAAUCAAGUUGUUCUGAAAGACUAGUAAAUAAUCAAAUGCAGUCUAGCAAGCUGGGUGUGGUAGAAUACCUGUAGUCCCAAUUACUCAGGAGGCUGAGGCAGGAGGCUCGCUUAAGCCCAGGAGUUUGAGACCAGCCUAGGCAACGUAGCAAGACCCUAUUUCUAAGCAUGGGGGAAAGCAGUCUAGUGAUUUUGGUGUACAGACUGGACUAUGGAAGGGAACACAGUGAAAUAAGCAAUUGUGUAUGGGGGCAGGUGGGUCACUGGGAGAGUAAAUAGAUUGUUUUUAAAAACUGUCAACCUUAAAACAGAAAAAAUAAUCUGUCAAUAUAUAUAAUUUUAAAAUGUUAACUAAGUUUAGAAUGGUAUUAUUCAUCAUGAUGUUAGUAAAAUUGCUGAAUAUGUUCACAACUGUUACGGUUCUGUCUGUACGAGGUUCCAUGCUUAAGUAACGCUGGUGAAAGCAGCUGUCCCACAGCAGUGGCACACCUAGCAGAUCUGACGCAUUUUUAAGACCGCCUUCCUUUAUUUGACAAAAUGACUUUCAACAAUAACCAGCACUCUACUUCAGUUAUUUAAAAUUGUAAACGUAAAAAUUCCCAAAGCAGAAACAGAGAAUGAAGGAAUGGAAAAAAAGUUCUGUUUCCUCAUCUUCAUAAUCAUUCUACUAUUGUUGCUCAUUGACAAAUCUGUUUAACCACUGGAACAAGGAGCACCAUGGGGACUGUGGACUCAGACUGCACCUGAAAUGAGUACUAGGCUGAGUCCAC